Molecule: transfer RNA, 71 nt
Filed under: Caudacaecilia cf. asplenia ZRC 1.12502
Lineage: Eukaryota; Metazoa; Chordata; Amphibia; Gymnophiona; Ichthyophiidae
Description: tRNA-Lys
Source: RNAcentral
CACUAAGAAGCUAAUACGGACAGCACUAGCCUUUUAAGCUAGCACAGGUGACUACCAAUCACCCUCAGUGA